GGGAUUGCCUCAGUAACGGCGAGUGAAGCGGCAACAGCUCAAAUUUGAAAUCUGGCCCUUUCGGGGUCCGAGUUGUAAUUUGUAGAGAGUGUUUCGGGUGAGAUCACGGUCUAAGUCCAUUGGAACAUGGCGUCAUAGAGGGUGAGAAUCCCGUAUGUGACUGUGGAUCGAGCCCAUGUGAAGCCUCUUCGACGAGUCGAGUUGUUUGGGAAUGCAGCUCAAAAUGGGUGGUAAAUUUCAUCUAAAGCUAAAUACUGGCUGGAGACCGAUAGCGCACAAGUAGAGUGAUCGAAAGAUGAAAAGCACUUUGGAAAGAGAGUCAAACAGUACGUGAAAUUGUUGAAAGGGAAGCGCUUGCAACCAGACCUGUCCGUAGGUGAUCAGCCGCUGUUUUCAGUGGUGCACUCGCUCUACGAUCAGGCCAGCAUCGGUUCUGGCGGUCGGAUAAAGGCCUUGGGAAUGUAGCUUCCUCCGGGGAGUCUUAUAGCCCUCGGUGCAAUGCGGCCAGCCGGGACCGAGGACCGCGCUUCGGCUAGGAUGCUGGCGUAAUGGUUGUAAGCGACCCGUCUUGAAACACGGACCAAGGAGUCUAACAUCUAUGCGAGUGUUUGGGUGUCAAACCCAUACGCGGAAUGAAAGUGAACGGAGGUGAGAACCCUUAAGGGCGCAUCAUCGACCGAUCCAGAUGUCUUCGGAUGGAUUUGAGUAUGAGCAUAGCUGUUGGGACCCGAAAGAUGGUGAACUAUACUUGAAUAGGGUGAAGCCAGAGGAAACUCUGGUGGAGGCUCGCAGCGGUUCUGACGUGCAAAUCGAUCGUCAAAUUUGGGUAUAGGGGCGAAAGACUAAUCGAACCA
Molecule: ribosomal RNA, 854 nt
Filed under: Bryoria fuscescens
Lineage: Eukaryota; Fungi; Ascomycota; Lecanoromycetes; Lecanorales; Parmeliaceae
Description: eukaryotic LSU rRNA
Rfam family: Eukaryotic large subunit ribosomal RNA
Source: RNAcentral